Molecule: ribosomal RNA, 648 nt
Filed under: uncultured Lachnospiraceae bacterium
Lineage: Bacteria; Bacillati; Bacillota; Clostridia; Lachnospirales; Lachnospiraceae
Description: bacterial SSU rRNA
Rfam family: Bacterial small subunit ribosomal RNA
Source: RNAcentral
ACUUAGUGGCGGACGGGUGAGUAACGCGUGGGUAACCUGCCCUGUACAGGGGGACAACAGCUGGAAACGGCUGCUAAUACCGCAUAAGCCCUUAGCACUGCAUGGUGUAUAGGGAAAAGGAGCAAUCCGGUACAGGAUGGACCCGCGUCUGAUUAGCCAGUUGGCAGGGUAACGGCCUACCAAAGCGACGAUCAGUAGCCGAUCUGAGAGGAUGUACGGCCACAUUGGGACUGAGACACGGCCCAGACUCCUACGGGAGGCAGCAGUGGGGAAUAUUGCACAAUGGAGGAAACUCUGAUGCAGCGACGCCGCGUGAGUGAAGAAGUAUUUCGGUAUGUAAAGCUCUAUCAGCAGGGAAGAAAAUGACGGUACCUGACUAAGAAGCACCGGCUAAAUACGUGCCAGCAGCCGCGGUAAUACGUAUGGUGCAAGCGUUAUCCGGAUUUACUGGGUGUAAAGGGAGCGUAGGUGGCAAGGCAAGCCAGAAGUGAAAACCCGGGGCUCAACCGCGGGAUUGCUUUUGGAACUGUCAUGCUAGAGUGCAGGAGGGGUGAGCGGAAUUCCUAGUGUAGCGGUGAAAUGCGUAGAUAUUAGGAGGAACACCGGAGGCGAAGGCGGCUCACUGGACUGUAACUGACACUGAGGCUC